RNAcentral lists this ribosomal RNA (446 nucleotides) under uncultured Desulfobulbus sp. RNAcentral describes it as "bacterial SSU rRNA". It matches the Rfam family "Bacterial small subunit ribosomal RNA", at positions 941 to 1382 of the family's 1533-position model. Lineage: Bacteria; Pseudomonadati; Thermodesulfobacteriota; Desulfobulbia; Desulfobulbales; Desulfobulbaceae. The record is from RNAcentral.
GUGGUUUAAUUCGAUGCAACGCGAAGAACCUUACCUGGUCUUGACAUCCCGGAGACCCUUAGGAAACUAGGGGUGCUUCCAUCUGGAAGAAUCUGGAGACAGGUGCUGCAUGGCUGUCGUCAGCUCGUGUCGUGAGAUGUUGGGUUAAGUCCCGCAACGAGCGCAACCCUUGCCUUUAGUUGCCAGCAGUUCGGCUGGGCACUCUAAAGGGACUGCCGGUGUUAAACCGGAGGAAGGUGGGGAUGACGUCAAGUCCUCAUGGCCUUUAUGACCAGGGCUACACACGUACUACAAUGGCCGAUACAAAGGGCAGCGACACUGCGAGGUGAAGCCAAUCCCGUAAAAUCGGUCUCAGUUCGGAUUGGAGUCUGCAACUCGACUCCAUGAAGUUGGAAUCGCUAGUAAUCGUGGAUCAGCAUGCCACGGUGAAUACGUUCCCGGGCCUU